ACUUCGAUUGACAUUCCACUAUUCCAUUUUCCAUUCGCCUGCCCCCGCUUAUAAUUCAUGAGCCCUUUCCGUCUUCAUUUGGCGAUUUAACACUCGUCGGGAAUUCGUCUAUUCGAUAGAAGCAGGAAAGCAAGUAGAAAAUGGCGCAGUGGGCUCUGGGGCGUGGUUGCAGAGCUCUGAUGGCGUCCAGACCCUCGUCUUCCCCUUUCGGUUCUUCUUCUGUUUCUGCUUCCACCAAGAAGAAGACACGCAAUGCCAAGGUUUCCCCUAAUCUCGCAAACUUUCUCGGUGCUCCUUUACCCUCCCGCUCCCGUGCCGCCAGUAAACUCAUGAGGCACGUCAGGCUUAACAAUCUUCAGAAGGAGGAGAUUCGUUGCAACGAGAAGCUGAGGACCCUAUUCAAUGGAAAAGACAAAGUUGGAUUCCUGGAGAUUGCGAAAUUUCUGUCCAAGUACUUUGAGAAAUCUGACUGAUACUGUUGUCUUUGCAACAUAAAGAAAUCCAGUCUAGAUUGUCUCAUAUUUCAUCUGAAAUGCUUUCUUUUCUGGUUUGACUGUUUAAUGGCUUUGGCUGUCUACUGGUCAGGGAGAACGAAAACCAGAAUGUGCUGUAGAUUGCAGUUCUUUUGAGCGUUGUUUGGAUUUUGGAAAAAAUUUAGAGCAAGAAAAAAAUAUAAACAAACUUUUUUUUUUUUUUUUUUUCAUAUCUGGUUAUAUAGUGAGAAAAUAAAAUAUAUUAGAAAUCAAUGACAAAAAUAUAAUUUUAUACAUAAUUAAUAUUUCAUUUCAUACUUGGUGAUCUCGAGGUCACAAAUUUGAUUCUCCCUUGAAAGUUUAUUCGGUAAAUUAUUAGGGUUGCAUCAAUUGGUGAGUAGCAUUCACCCCCGGAUUUGGUGCUGCAUUAGGUGUCUAAAGUGGCAUGAUGGUGACAGAAGUUUUCGGAUUAUUUUAAUUCUUAGAUACUUUUGAGUGAAGUUGUAUUUAUUUUUUUUGGAUUACGCACUAGGUAUUCACGUGUCCGUUUUACGGUCCACGUAACUAAUCCUGCGUCCUUUGAAGUUGAUCCCAUAAUUCUAAAAAGAGAGUAAAUUCAGGAAUUCAGGGAUGGAAACGAACUCGAGAGAGUUUGAACACCUGACCUUGUGAGAGGCAUCUCCGUAGUCCGCACUACCACUUGAACCACAUGGGGCAAUUGGAGGAGAUUUGGGCUGUGGAACAGGUGGUGAUCCAAGGACCUACUAUGUAAUUAUGAUAUUUAUAAAGUUAGCCCAAUAAAACAAGAAAUUUUAUGUGGGCACAAAUAUGAAAAUAAAAAUACAUGAAGCAUAAUAUUUUAUUAAUAAUGAAAUACUUCAUUACAGGAGUCGUAAUCUCUUC
Malania oleifera is the source of this 1376-nucleotide RNA transcript. RefSeq lists it as uncharacterized. The record is from RefSeq and is a predicted model, not a curated record. The transcript is spliced from 3 exons. NCBI's taxonomy places the organism in Eukaryota, Viridiplantae, Streptophyta, Magnoliopsida, Santalales, Ximeniaceae.